GGAAAGAUGAACUCUAUUGUUUUAAUACUUUACAUAAGCGGCACAACAGGAGCAUUAUGGGAAUAAAAGUUUGACUUCCCAGUAUUUCUGAGCACACCUUGAUCUUCUGAGUGUUGGCUUCUUACAGGGGCUUUUUCUUGUCCUUAUCUCCUUUGGCAGUACAAGACUGCAGUGAUGCUACUGAAAUGUAUGUUGAACAAGCCUCUUAGGCCAAAUUGCUGAUCCUUGUGACAUGACAGCCUGAUUCAUUCCAACAUGUACACUGAAAUUAAAAGAGCUGUGGGCAAUUAUCACACAUGGGACAACUGCACAGGCCACAGCAGUGACCAGAGAUGAAAAUACUGCUGGGGGGAGCUCAGCAAGGAGAAACGCCAUGGUGCA
Long non-coding RNA from Lacerta agilis (Sand lizard), 381 nucleotides. RefSeq lists it as uncharacterized. The record is from RefSeq and is a predicted model, not a curated record. Lineage: Eukaryota; Metazoa; Chordata; Lepidosauria; Squamata; Lacertidae. The transcript is spliced from 3 exons.